GAUCAUGCUCAGGACGAACGCUGGCGGCGUGCCUAAUACAUGCAAGUAGAACGCUGAAGAGAGGAGCUUGCUCUUCUUGGAUGAGUUGCGAACGGGUGAGUAACGCGUAGGUAACCUGCCUUGUAGCGGGGGAUAACUAUUGGAAACGAUAGCUAAUACCGCAUAACAAUGAAUGACUCAUGUCAUUUAUUUGAAAGGGGCAAUUGCUCCACUACAAGAUGGACCUGCGUUG
RNAcentral lists this ribosomal RNA (232 nucleotides) under uncultured bacterium. Its description in RNAcentral is "partial 16S ribosomal RNA". It matches the Rfam family "Bacterial small subunit ribosomal RNA", at positions 15 to 238 of the family's 1533-position model. The record is from RNAcentral.